This 76-nucleotide transfer RNA is filed under the name Acidiferrobacteraceae bacterium. RNAcentral's name for it is "tRNA-Gln". It matches the Rfam family "tRNA". Rfam says of the family: Transfer RNA (tRNA) molecules are approximately 80 nucleotides in length. Their secondary structure includes four short double-helical elements and three loops (D, anti-codon, and T loops). The record is from RNAcentral. RNAcentral also lists the same sequence under 1 other name. Lineage: Bacteria; Pseudomonadati; Pseudomonadota; Gammaproteobacteria; Acidiferrobacterales; Acidiferrobacteraceae.
UGGGGCGUAGCCAAGUGGUUAAGGCACCGGAUUUUGAUUCCGGCACUCCCAGGUUCGAGUCCUGGCGCCCCAGCCA